Hevea brasiliensis (rubber tree) is the source of this 438-nucleotide long non-coding RNA. RefSeq lists it as uncharacterized. The record is from RefSeq and is a predicted model, not a curated record. NCBI's taxonomy places the organism in Eukaryota, Viridiplantae, Streptophyta, Magnoliopsida, Malpighiales, Euphorbiaceae. The transcript is spliced from 3 exons.
UUUUUAUAUAUUAUUAUUGGGCUUCGUGUAGGUAUCCUCAAUUCGCGGAAAUUCGACAGUUGUCCGGAUCUGUGAAUUUCCGGCCAGACAGACCAGCUACCGGAAAAGUCUCCGAAUUGGAUCGAGGUUUUGGCUACCCCACCAUUGUCAGGCAUCCCGAGCGCGUUCCCGAAGUCGGAAUCGGCAAAGGUGAGCCGGGACAGCCUUCUUCCUCCGCCCAGCCACCACAGUGAUUGUCGUCAAGUCUGCCACAGGAGGAUAUUUUGUUCUGGGUUAACCUGCCUUUUUACCUCGCAGGUUGUUUAUCAAUAUUGUGUAAUUUUAAUUACUCCUAGAAUUUCCGCAUGUGUUAGCAGUAAUUAUUUGAAAUUGGUCUGUAAUAUUAUAUUCAUGUUGGACCUGUAAACUUAAUAUUUUAAGUCUGUUUGAUGGAUUGGA